GAAUCUUGGACAAUGGGCGCAAGCCUGAUCCAGCGACGCCGCGUGACUGAUGAAGCCCCUCGGGGUGUAAAAGUCUUUCAGCCGGGACAAUGAUGAUGGUACCUGCCGAAGCAGCUGCGGCUAACUACGUGCCAGCCGCCGCGGUAAUACGUAGGCAGCUAGCGUCGUUCGGAAUUACUGGGCGUAAAGCGAGUGGAGGCGGUUUGCCAAGUCCGUUGUGAAAUCUCCCGGCUCAACUGGGAGGGUGCGCCGGAAACUGGCAGGCUAGGGUGCGGUAUGGGAGAGUGGAAUUCCUGGUGUAGCGGUGAAAUGCGUAGAUAUCAGGAGGAACACCGGUGGUGAAGACGGCUCUCUGGACCGUUACCGACGCUGAGACUCGAAAGCGUGGGGAGCAAACAGG
RNAcentral lists this ribosomal RNA (400 nucleotides) under uncultured bacterium. RNAcentral describes it as "bacterial SSU rRNA". It matches the Rfam family "Bacterial small subunit ribosomal RNA", at positions 359 to 776 of the family's 1533-position model. The record is from RNAcentral.